UUUUUUUUUUUUUGCUUUAUUUUUGCCUUUUGGUCCUAGUUAUUUUUUCUCUCCUUUCCUUACUUUCCAACAAAUUCAAAUAAUAUAAUGAAUUUCAAAGGCACCAGGUGUUCAUUUGCUUCUGAGCUGUAUUUUCUUUUUAAUUGACGUUUCUAUCUUUCCAUUCAAUUAUCAUGACUAGGACUAAACAGGGCUAAUGACAAGUUAAAAAAAUAAAAGAAAGUGUGCUUUUUUGAAAAUCUAUACCAAGAAGAAAAAGGCCUGCUGAUGUUUUUAAUCAGCUUCAUUAUUCCUAUCAAUAAUGCUAAUUCAUAAAAAAAUAACCCGAAGACUCUGAGAAUUCAAUAGCACUCCUUAAAUACCUAAUUUCACUAUAUCUUGUAGGCUGACUUCUUAAUAUCAUUACGUGUUAAUGAAAAGGACAUAUUUUGAAUGCAACUCCUCCCAUUUGAAAAUAGCCUAUUAGUCACACUCUAUCCCAUACAUACAUAUUAGUAUGAAAUAAAACAACAGAAGCAUAAGAUGAAUAGCAUUACCUAACAAAUCUACAUAGCAUGUCUGAUAAAAUCAUGUGAUUGGGUAGAGAGAGAAAGAUGUCCAAAAGAUAAUGAGAAAAAAGCCAGCAAGGGAAGGUUUCCACGAAUCUCUGAAGUUUCCUUAGGCAAUUUGUUACAAUGCAUACGUGCCACAUGGAACAGUCAUUCCAGGUAAAAUGGCAUGGCUGUUGCUGGAGCUUGCUCCAACUUUGGCAGUCACGAACUUCUCUAGAAUGAAAAAACUGCUCUAACUAAGCUGCGCUUCUUAGGCCUAACUUCUACUCUGUGAUCCUUAGAAGAGAAGUGAGUCUCAGUAACCAUGCCUCAGAUAGCACUGCUCAUUUUCCAGACUUGGUGAUGGAUAGUGAGGACAUAAUGAUGAAUCACCUACCCAGCGCCAGGCUGUAGUUACGACGUAUGUACAGUAUGAGACUCGGCCACAGUGCCACAUGCGGAAGCCGUCUAGACAGGCGGGGGGCAAGUUUCCGUGGAAAGACAGAUGCAGCGGUGGAGUGUGCCUCGCCCCCUACAAGGGCUCCACCAGUGAUGCAGCGGUGAGUGCCUGGGGAGAUCACAGAUCAGGAGAUGCAGCGGUGAGUGCCUGGGGAGAUCACGGAUCAGGACUACGACUACGGCACAGUCUCCCCCAGUCAUCCCGAAGAAGAAAGUCAGGAGCCCGGCGUUGCUGCAGAGGGCACGAAAUCUUGCGCAACGGGAACAUUCUGUGCUGAUCUGUGGUGACGUGGGGCUGCUAGAGGGAGGAACAGCUGAGAGCAACUCGGGAGAGUGUGUGUGACCAAGUAUUACAGAGAGGAAGGCGGAUUUAAUAAAGCGGUCUGGACAGCUCCCGGAGGUCACCCUUGUUGGAAUCAAGUCACUGACCGAAUUCCUGUGAGAAUGAUCUGAUUGGUGAGGUCUGGAGAAAACAACCAGCCCACUGAAAUCGAUCAUACUGAGGACACCUCGGUGUGACACAUCACGUGGAAACUAUUUUGAAAAACUCCACAGGUUUAACUUGCAAAAACAUGGGCACAUCUACAGUCUAACACGAUUGCGUGAGAAUAGUUGACAACAUGAGAAUAUUUGUAAAUCAGAAAUGGAAUCACGUAUACCCACUUCCAAUGUCCUCCGAAGUUCUGCGACAGCUGUUUGAAUUAAUUCUUGGCGCCCUGAUGGCAGCAUCUCUGCACUACAUUCCUUAUUAUCUCCCCGCAUGAUAGCCCUUAUGUGAAUACCCAAGCCCUUGAACAAUCCCCUUAUCGGAGUCAUUCUUUGGAAUGUGACAUUAUUAAAGAGAUAUACUUGAUCUCGGUUUUAAACCCUGGAGAGAAGAAACCAUGAGUGGGUUUCUUCAAAUGAAAGUGUCAAACAGGAAUAGGCUCUGGCAGGGAAAUCUGUCCUGAAGUGCCAACUCGUUCUCCACUGAGGCGGUGUUAUCAGGUUGACCUCCAGCUCGCCGGGGAGUGCUCUAAAUGUGCAGUGCUGCUGGCCCGCAGCACGUAUUCUGAGAAAUUCUCAAAGAUCGAUUUUACUUCCUGGGGAAAUGCUAUUUAUUCGCAUCUGUUUUCAAGGUUCUUAAGGGGGGGAAAAACAAACAGAAAAAAUGCUUGUCUUCCCACUGCCUACAGGCAGGCUCAGAGAAUGACAUUACCAUGCCUUUUAAAAAGUAUUGAAUUAGCUGGCUAAUAAUGUUUUCUUCUAAAUUAUUCUAAAAAGAAAAAUAGUUGGCAUGUAUUAGGCCAUGUUUUACAUAAAAAAGCAAUUUUGGUAUUGACUGAAAUAAUUUAAAUCAAUUGUUCUAGUUUUAAACAAUAAAGCGUAAAGGGGGAGAAAAGCCCUUUUCUUUAUAGCUAUUCUCAUGGAUUUUUCUUAAGAGAUAUUUUACACGUUAGAAAACUUGUAAGAAACGUUUCACUAUAUUUAUAUAUAUAUAUAUAUAUUUACAUAUAUAUAUGUAAAUGUUUUAGUUUCUGUACUAUAGGAUUAAUCCUCUUGGUGAUUAUGACAAUAGCCUGAAAUUCUUGAAGUUACUAAGAGUUCCUCAUUAUUUAAUUUGUUUUUUUUUUCCUCCAGUAUAUUAUUUUAAAGUGUUGGAAGAAAAAACGUCCUACUAUGUAAGAAUCUGGUGAGGUUACUCUAUAUAUGACAAUUUACAAGACAAAAUUAUUCAUAAAUAAUUAAGGCUUAAAUUCUCCAUUUUUAUUAUCAUUCUUGAAAUCUGUUUUAUUAACUGAGACAUAAUAGAGAUGUUAAAAGAUUCAUAUGAUUGUAGGUAUCAGAAAAAAUACCUAACUAAAUUUAAAUGGCAUUUUAGAAAAAUCAUAUCUAGAUUUGUUUUAUGUUAUUCAUGAGAUUCCAUACAUUAUUAUAACAUCAAAUACAUCAAAGCUUCAUAGCUAUUCAAGCUAGUUCUGACCAUUCCAUACUAUUACAUUCUGAUUAGGGACAUCAUGGCAUUUACUGUGCUGCUUUAAGUUCUAUAUUUUGAUCACUAGCUCCCUCACUAGAAUGUAAGUUUGUGAAGGAAAUUGAAAAUAUUUGUGCAAUUGAAUGAAUCUAUUUGCAAAAUGUUAUUUAUUUUUCAAAUUGGAUAAGGCUGUUCUUAUUUACCAUGGAAAUGGUAUUAUUUACAGGCAAGAAAUUGAGCUUCAUUAAGGUUUAGCAGAACAGAGGUAUAAUAAAAUUUCAAGGAAUUAUUAGGAUAAAUGUUCCAAUGAUCUCCUAUGUGAAUUGUUCCUUGUAUUACAUAUUUGACAACAGUAAACAGCUUCUUGUUCAUUAUCUGCUUACAGUCAUAAUAGGUUUAGGUAAUUUAUGCCCAAUUAAAUUAUAACUACUUGAGUAUAGAGGUCUUAUGCUUCAUUAUAUGCCUUAAAUUCUACAGCAUACAGUAUAAUGACCUGUUAAAGAUGACACUUAAAUUAUAUUUUUUAUUGAUUAUAGU
RNAcentral lists this long non-coding RNA (3480 nucleotides) under Canis lupus familiaris (dog). RNAcentral's name for it is "lncRNA (ENSCAFG00000058794.1)". Lineage: Eukaryota; Metazoa; Chordata; Mammalia; Carnivora; Canidae. The record is from RNAcentral.